Molecule: non-coding RNA, 471 nt
Organism: Phascolarctos cinereus (koala)
Lineage: Eukaryota; Metazoa; Chordata; Mammalia; Diprotodontia; Phascolarctidae
Source: RefSeq, a predicted model, not a curated record
UUAGAAAUGAUCUACUUGUAUGACCUUGGACACAUCAUUUUGCUUCUCCAGAUUUCCAUAUCUUCUUCUGAAAAAUCGUCUGAAGAUAUUAUUGUGAUAAACAAAAUACAAAUGAACUUCGAAGUUUCACUGAAUUAAUUGCAACUCUUUGUCAAUCAAUGGUAUAAUAUGACUAAUAUCAUCUGGGCCCUCUAGCUCCUGGAUUUAUCAGUAUUAUGUCAGAGUUCUCUGUGUAGCACAACCCCCAUGAUGCUGAUAUCCUUCCACCAAAGGAAGAGGCUGGAAAAGUAAUCCUGUAUCAGAGACAUGCAAGAAUUUAAUCAUAGAAUAUCAGAGCUGGAAGAGACCUUAAGGGUCUUCUACCCAACCCUUACUGGAAGCAUGAAACCCUUUUACAACAUGUUUGACAAGUGAUCAACCAGCCUUCUACGUGAAGACUUUCAAAGUGGGACAAUUCAUUACCACUGAUGG